Long non-coding RNA from Pygocentrus nattereri (red-bellied piranha), 212 nucleotides. RefSeq lists it as uncharacterized. Lineage: Eukaryota; Metazoa; Chordata; Actinopteri; Characiformes; Serrasalmidae. The transcript is spliced from 3 exons. The record is from RefSeq and is a predicted model, not a curated record.
CUGCAGGCCCGAGAGCGUCAUCUGCAGGACAGCCGGGGCGCUGCAUUACGGCGCCAUUGCUCCGCUCUACGUCUCCAGGUUUGCUGGAGCUCUGCUUCGAUCAGCUUCUCUGUCUCUGCCUCCUGACGUCUCUGCUCCUCCAGCUGCUCAGCCAGUUGUUCCAGAAUGCUCAUGUCCAAGGCCAGCUCAUCCUGCUGCUCCUGCGCCACUCG